This 85-nucleotide transfer RNA is filed under the name Spirochaetaceae bacterium. RNAcentral's name for it is "tRNA-Ser". It matches the Rfam family "tRNA". Rfam says of the family: Transfer RNA (tRNA) molecules are approximately 80 nucleotides in length. Their secondary structure includes four short double-helical elements and three loops (D, anti-codon, and T loops). Lineage: Bacteria; Pseudomonadati; Spirochaetota; Spirochaetia; Spirochaetales; Spirochaetaceae. RNAcentral also lists the same sequence under 2 other names. The record is from RNAcentral.
GGAGAGGUGUCCGAGUGGUUUAAGGAGGCGGUCUUGAAAACCGCUGAGCCGCAAGGCUCCGUGGGUUCGAAUCCCACCUUCUCCG